RNAcentral lists this ribosomal RNA (479 nucleotides) under uncultured bacterium. RNAcentral's name for it is "bacterial SSU rRNA". It matches the Rfam family "Bacterial small subunit ribosomal RNA", at positions 28 to 521 of the family's 1533-position model. The record is from RNAcentral.
GAUGAACGCUGGCGGCGUGCCUAAUACAUGCAAGUCGAACGAGGUGCUUGAGUAGCAAUACGAGAGUAUCCUAGUGGCGAACGGGUGAGUAACGCGUUGGUGACCUGCCCCAAAGUGUGGGAUAACAGUCCGAAAGGAUUGCUAAUACCGCAUGUGGUUAUCGGAUUUAGAAACUGAUAUCUAAAGGAGCAAUUCGCUUUGGGAGGGACCUGCGUCCCAUCAGCUAGUUGGUGAGGUAAUGGCUCACCAAGGCUACGACGGGUAGGGGACCUGAGAGGGUGACCCCCCANAAUGGAACUGAAACACGGUCCAUACACCUACGGGUGGCAGCAGUAGGGAAUAUUGCUCAAUGGGCGAAAGCCUGAAGCAGCAACGCCGCGUGUGCGAUGAAGGCCUUGGUCGUAAGCACUUUCUGAGGAUGAGCAAGGACAGUACUCAGGAAUAAGUACUCGGCUAACUACGUAGCCAGCAGCCGCGGU